Molecule: unclassified non-coding RNA, 289 nt
Filed under: Hevea brasiliensis (rubber tree)
Lineage: Eukaryota; Viridiplantae; Streptophyta; Magnoliopsida; Malpighiales; Euphorbiaceae
Source: RNAcentral
UUUCAUAGUUACAUGCUUAAAGAGGAAUGCCUGACUGUACAAUAGUGCAAAAGAGGACCUAGAUUGUGCAAUAGUGCAAAAGAAAGGAAUUAUUUCUGUAAUUGCUCUUUCAUUUGUUCCUAGCAAAAAUGGUCUGGUUUGUUUGCUUUCAAGCAUUUCAGUUAUGGUCAUUAUGUCUUGAUUUAUCAAUCAAUGGUUUAUGCAAUAGGCAUUUGUUGGCCCACUAACGUUCAGGUGAAUGGUGAUAGGUGUCCACUUGGGUAUGAACUAUGGAGUAGCCAUAAAGCUG